AGAGGGCGUCNUAACAUGCAGUCGAGCGGACAGAAGGGAGCUUGCUCCCGGAUGUUAGCGGCGGACGGGUGAGUAACACGUGGGUAACCUGCCUGUAAGACUGGGAUAACUCCGGGAAACCGGAGCUAAUACCGGAUAGUUCCUUGAACCGCAUGGUUCAAGGAUGAAAGACGGUUUCGGCUGUCACUUACAGAUGGACCCGCGGCGCAUUAGCUAGUUGGUGGGGUAAUGGCUCACCAAGGCGACGAUGCGUAGCCGACCUGAGAGGGUGAUCGGCCACACUGGGACUGAGACACGGCCCAGACUCCUACGGGAGGCAGCAGUAGGGAAUCUUCCGCAAUGGACGAAAGUCUGACGGAGCAACGCCGCGUGAGUGAUGAAGGUUUUCGGAUCGUAAAGCUCUGUUGUUAGGGAAGAACAAGUGCGAGAGUAACUGCUCGCACCUUGACGGUACCUAACCAGAAAGCCACGGCUAACUACGUGCCAGCAGCCGCGGUAAUACGUAGGUGGCAAGCGUUGUCCGGAAUUAUUGGGCGUAAAGGGCUCGCAGGCGGUUUCUUAAGUCUGAUGUGAAAGCCCCCGGCUCAACCGGGGAGGGUCAUUGGAAACUGGGAAACUUGAAUGCAGAAGAGGAGAGUGGAAUUCCACGUGUAGCGGUGAAAUGCGUAGAGAUGUGGAGGAACACCAGUGGCGAAGGCGACUCUCUGGUCUGUAACUGACGCUGAGGAGCGAAAGCGUGGGGAGCGAACACGAUUUAUAUACCCUGGUAGUCCACGCCGUAACGAUGAGUGCUAAAUUGUUAGGGUGUUUCCGCCCCUUAAUGCUGCAGCUAA
Molecule: ribosomal RNA, 833 nt
Filed under: Bacillus pumilus
Lineage: Bacteria; Bacillati; Bacillota; Bacilli; Caryophanales; Bacillaceae
Description: bacterial SSU rRNA
Rfam family: Bacterial small subunit ribosomal RNA
Source: RNAcentral